CUCCAAAUUUCCUCCACUCUGAUUUUAAUAAUUCUCCAUUUCAAUUUCUCUAAUCAACGCACCUCUCUUUCUUUUAUUCUUUUCCUCCUUCGUUUCUUCUUCGUUCUUGUUCUCCCCGAAACAGAGACAGCGAGAGGGAGAGAGUGAGACUGAGAUGAGAGAUUGAGUGAGAGGGAGAUGCGAGAGAUUAGAGAGAUGAGACCGAGAGAGGAUCCGGUGGAUCCGUGAGAGAGAGAGAGACUGAACGGAGAGGGAGAGGAAUCGGGAAGAUCAUACUCGAUCUUCCGGUGGACGUACUGGGUGACGCCGGCGAGACCAGGGAGCGCUGGUGAAGCAAGGGGAGCCCCGAUCCUCCACGAUCGGCGGCUGGGGCUGAAGUUCGGCGGGAUGGCAGUGGGUCGACGAACAGGCCGACGGCAAUCAGAGGCGCGAGGCCGACCAGUUCAAGGCACGAUUUCCGGGGAUAGCAGUGGGUCUGUCGAGUUCGGUGUGUUUCUGGACCCGGAGACCCGAACCGUGAGGACCCGUGCACAUCCGUGGGCUGAUCUCAGCUCAUCCCGACAGGCCGUAGCUCGGUCCUCAACGAGCUGUGGACCCGUGAAUCAUCGGCCCAACCCAGAACCGGAACCCAUGAACCAACCAAGCCUCUGACCCGAAAACCCGACCCGUAACCCGUCAGACCCGAGAGGAAGAUCCGGUUCUUCCUUUGUGUUUUCCAGUGGCUUUCUCCGGUGGAUUUGCUAUGAAAAAUCCUUGGGAUGAUGAACUGUGACUGCACAAAAGGGCUAUGUUUGCGCAGGUACUGAAGAUUAUGGAUUGGAUUAACUGCUAGCUUAAGAGAUUUAAGGCUGUGUAGUUAGGAUUUUAGUACUUUGUACUCGUAGAUGUUUGUACCAUUUACUUGUAAUUAAUAAGUUCCAUGCAUGUUUUAGUGUCAUAUGUGACAUAUGUUUCUUUGUAAAUAGUGUAAAGACUUUUAAUGUAUUUUCUAGAAGAUGUCAGUUAAAGCUC
Long non-coding RNA from Alnus glutinosa, 1011 nucleotides. RefSeq lists it as uncharacterized. The transcript is spliced from 3 exons. NCBI's taxonomy places the organism in Eukaryota, Viridiplantae, Streptophyta, Magnoliopsida, Fagales, Betulaceae. The record is from RefSeq and is a predicted model, not a curated record.